CCUACGGGGGGCAGCAGUAGGGAAUUUUCGUCAAUGGGCGCAAGCCUGAACGAGCAAUGCCGCGUGAACGAGGAAGGUCUUCGGAUCGUAAAGUUCUGUUGAAGGGGAAAAAGAGCGGAGAGAGGAAAUGAACUCCGAUUGAUAUUACCCUUCGAGGAAGUCACGGCUAACUACGUGCCAGCAGCCGCGGUAAUACGUAGGUGGCGAGCGUUAUCCGGAAUGAUUGAGCGUAAAGGGUGCGUAGGCGGCCUGCUAAGUCUGGAGUGAAAGGUACCGGCUCAACCGGUACAGGCUCUGGAAACUGGCGGGCUAGAGAGCAGGAGAGGGCGGCGGAAUUCGUGGUGUAGCGGUGAAAUGUUUAGAUAUCACGAAGAACUCCGAUUGCGAAGGCAGCUUACUAAACUGCCACUGACAUUGAUGCUCGAAAGUGUGGGUAUCAAACAGGAUUAGAUACCCCAGUAGUC
Molecule: ribosomal RNA, 464 nt
Filed under: uncultured bacterium
Lineage: Bacteria
Description: partial 16S ribosomal RNA
Rfam family: Bacterial small subunit ribosomal RNA
Source: RNAcentral